UGGGGGAUAUUGCACAAUGGGCGAAAGCCUGAUGCAGCGACGCCGCGUGGGGGAUGAAGGCUUUCGGGUUGUAAACCUCUUUCGCUAUCGAACAAGGCCCGCUUAGGGUGGGUUGAGGGUAGGUGGAGAAGAAGCGCCGGCUAACUACGUGCCAGCAGCCGCGGUAAUACGUAGGGCGCGAGCGUUGUCCGGAAUUUUUUGGCGUAAAGGACUUGUAGGCAGCUUGUUGCGCCUGCUGUGAUAACGCGGGGCUUAACUUCGCGCGUGCAGUGGGUACGGGCGGGCUUGGGUGUGGUAGGCGUGACUGGAAUUCCAGGUGUAGCGGUGGAAUGCGCAGAUAUCUGGAGGAACACCGAUGUCGAAGGCAGGUCACUGAGCCAUUACUGACGCUGAGGAGCGAAAGCAUGGGUAGCGAACAGG
This 420-nucleotide ribosomal RNA is filed under the name Fusobacteriota bacterium. RNAcentral's name for it is "Fusobacteria bacterium partial 16S ribosomal RNA". It matches the Rfam family "Bacterial small subunit ribosomal RNA", at positions 355 to 776 of the family's 1533-position model. Lineage: Bacteria; Fusobacteriati; Fusobacteriota. The record is from RNAcentral.